AAUGAACGCUGGCGGCGUGGAUAAGACAUGCAAGUCGAACGAAGGAAUUGAAUAGCUUGCUAAUUAAUUCCUUAGUGGCGGACGGGUUAGUAACACGUGAGUAACUUGCCUCAGAGUGGGGGAUAGUCCUGGGAAACUGGGUUUAAUACCGCAUAUGCUCUACGGAGUAAAGGUGGCUUCGGCUACCGCUUUGAGAUAGGCUCGCGUCCUAUCAGCUAGUUGGUGAGGUAAUGGCUCACCAAGGCGACGACGGGUAGUUGGUCUGAGAGGACGAUCAGCAACACUGGAACUGAGACACGGUCCAGACACCUACGGGUGGCAGCAGUCGAGAAUCAUUCACAAUGGGGGAAACCCUGAUGGUGCAACGCCGCGUGGAGGAAGAAGGCCCUAGGGUCGUAAACUCCUGUCAUAGUAGAGUAAGGCAUAGUAGUUAAUAUCUACUAUGUUUGAUAGUAUACUAAGAGGAAGGGACGGCUAACUUCG
RNAcentral lists this ribosomal RNA (483 nucleotides) under uncultured Rubritalea sp. RNAcentral's name for it is "bacterial SSU rRNA". It matches the Rfam family "Bacterial small subunit ribosomal RNA", at positions 29 to 505 of the family's 1533-position model. Lineage: Bacteria; Pseudomonadati; Verrucomicrobiota; Verrucomicrobiia; Verrucomicrobiales; Rubritaleaceae. The record is from RNAcentral.